UACGUAGGUGGCAAGCGUUGUCCGGAUUUACUGGGCGUAAAGAGCGCGCAGGCGGUCGGAUAAGUCGAAUGUGAAAGCCCCCGGCUCAACUGGGGAGGGUCACUCGAUACUGAUCGACUGGAAGGCAGGAGAGGGAAGCGGAAUUCCCGGUGUAGUGGUGAAAUGCGUAGAUAUCGGGAGGAACACCAGUGGCGAAGGCGGCUUCCUGGCCUGUUCUUGACGCUGAGGCGCGAAAGCUAGGGGAGCAAACGGG
RNAcentral lists this ribosomal RNA (253 nucleotides) under uncultured bacterium. RNAcentral describes it as "partial 16S ribosomal RNA". It matches the Rfam family "Bacterial small subunit ribosomal RNA", at positions 524 to 776 of the family's 1533-position model. The record is from RNAcentral.